GGCAUGGUGGUUUAGUGGUUAGCACAUUUGCCUUGUACCUCCAGGGUCAGGGGCUCGAUUCCCACCUCUGCCC
Pangasianodon gigas (Mekong giant catfish) is the source of this 73-nucleotide non-coding RNA. NCBI's taxonomy places the organism in Eukaryota, Metazoa, Chordata, Actinopteri, Siluriformes, Pangasiidae. The record is from the annotation of a GenBank genome assembly.